AGUGACGUCAAGUCAUCAUGGCCCUUAUGUCCAGGGCGACACACGUGCUACAAUGGCCGGCACAACGGGAAGCGAGUUCGCGAGGACGAGCGGAUCCCUCAAAGCCGGUCGCAGUUCGGAUUGAAGUCUGCAACCCGACUUCAUGAAGCUGGAAUCGCUAGUAAUCGUGGAUCAGCCAAGCCGCGGUGAAUACGUUCCCGGGCCUU
This 206-nucleotide ribosomal RNA is filed under the name uncultured Synergistaceae bacterium. RNAcentral's name for it is "partial 16S ribosomal RNA". It matches the Rfam family "Bacterial small subunit ribosomal RNA", at positions 1178 to 1382 of the family's 1533-position model. The record is from RNAcentral. Lineage: Bacteria; Thermotogati; Synergistota; Synergistia; Synergistales; Synergistaceae.